Molecule: ribosomal RNA, 429 nt
Filed under: Chloroflexota bacterium
Lineage: Bacteria; Bacillati; Chloroflexota
Description: Chloroflexi bacterium partial 16S ribosomal RNA
Rfam family: Bacterial small subunit ribosomal RNA
Source: RNAcentral
UGGGGAAUAUUGCACAAUGGGCGCAAGCCUGAUGCAGCCAUGCCGCGUGUAUGAAGAAGGCCUUCGGGUUGUAAAGUACUUUCAGUCGGGAGGAAGGUGUCAAGGUUAAUAACCUUGGCAAUUGACGUUACCGACAGAAGAAGCACCGGCUAACUCCGUGCCAGCAGCCGCGGUAAUACGGAGGGUGCAAGCGUUAAUCGGAAUUACUGGGCGUAAAGCGCACGCAGGCGGUUGAUUGAGUCAGAUGUGAAAUCCCCGGGCUUAACCCGGGAAUUGCAUCUGAUACUGGUCAGCUAGAGUCUUGUAGAGGGGGGCAGAAUUCCAUGUGUAGCGGUGAAAUGCGUAGAGAUGUGGAGGAAUACCGGUGGCGAAGGCGGCCCCCUGGACAAAGACUGACGCUCAGGUGCGAAAGCGUGGGGAGCAAACAGG